CGCGUAGGCGGUUUACACAGUCAGAUGUGAAAUUCCAGGGCUUAACCUUGGGGCUGCAUUUGAUACGUGUAGACUAGAGUGUGAGAGAGGGUUGUGGAAUUCCCAGUGUAGAGGUGAAAUUCGUAGAUAUUGGGAAGAACACCGGUGGCGAAGGCAAUCCCCUGGACCUGUACUGACGCUCAUGCACGAAAGCGUGGGGAGCAAACAGGAUUAGAUACCCUCGUA
Molecule: ribosomal RNA, 225 nt
Filed under: uncultured Asaia sp.
Lineage: Bacteria; Pseudomonadati; Pseudomonadota; Alphaproteobacteria; Acetobacterales; Acetobacteraceae
Description: partial 16S ribosomal RNA
Rfam family: Bacterial small subunit ribosomal RNA
Source: RNAcentral